UGCUGGAGGUAUCAGAAGUGCGAAUGCUGACAUAAGUAACGAUAAAGCGGGUGAAAAGCCCGCUCGCCGGAAGACCAAGGGUUCCUGUCCAACGUUAAUCGGGGCAGGGUGAGUCGACCCCUAAGGCGAGGCCGAAAGGCGUAGUCGAUGGGAAACGGGUUAAUAUUCCCGUACUUGGUGUUACUGCGAAGGGGGGACGGAGAAGGCUAUGUUGGCCGGGCGACGGUUGUCCCGGUUUAAGCGUGUAGGUGUGUGUUCCAGGUAAAUCCGGUUCACUUUAACACUGAGGCGUGAUGACGAGGCACUACGGUGCUGAAGCAACAAAUGCCCUGCUUCCAGGAAAAGCCUCUAAGCAUCAGGUAACAUCAAAUCGUACCCCAAACCGACACAGGUGGUCAGGUAGAGAAUACCAAGGCGCUUGAGAGAACUCGGGUGAAGGAACUAGGCAAAAUGGUGCCGUAACUUCGGGAGAAGGCACGCUGACAUGUAGGUGAAGUGAUUUACUCAUGGAGCUGAAGUCAGUCGAAGAUACCAGCUGGCUGCAACUGUUUAUUAAAAACACAGCACUGUGCAAACACGAAAGUGGACGUAUACGGUGUGACGCCUGCCCGGUGCCGGAAGGUUAAUUGAUGGGGUCAGCGCAAGCGAAGCUCCUGAUCGAAGCCCCGGUAAACGGCGGCCGUAACUAUAACGGUCCUAAGGUAGCGAAAUUCCUUGUCGGGUAAGUUCCGACCUGCACGAAUGGCGUAAUGAUGGCCAGGCUGUCUCCACCCGAGACUCAGUGAAAUUGAACUCGCUGUGAAGAUGCAGUGUACCCGCGGCAAGACGGAAAGACCCCGUGAACCUUUACUAUAGCUUGACACUGAACAUUGAGCCUUGAUGUGUAGGAUAGGUGGGAGGCUUUGAAGUGUGGACGCCAGUCUGCAUGGAGCCGGCCUUGAAAUACCACCCUUUAAUGUUUGAUGUUCUAACGUGGACCCGUAAUCCGGGUUGCGGACAGUGUCUGGUGGGUAGUUUGACUGGGGCGGUCUCCUCCUAAAGAGUAACGGAGGAGCACGAAGGUUGGCUAAUCCUGGUCGGACAUCAGGAGGUUAGUGCAAUGGCAUAAGCCAGCUUGACUGCGAGCGUGACGGCGCGAGCAGGUGCGAAAGCAGGUCAUAGUGAUCCGGUGGUUCUGAAUGGAAGGGCCAUCGCUCAACGGAUAAAAGGUACUCCGGGGAUAACAGGCUGAUACCGCCCAAGAGUUCAUAUCGACGGCGGUGUUUGGCACCUCGAUGUCGGCUCAUCACAUCCUGGGGCUGAAGUAGGUCCCAAGGGUAUGGCUGUUCGCCAUUUAAAGUGGUACGCGAGCUGGGUUUAGAACGUCGUGAGACAGUUCGGUCCCUAUCUGCCGUGGGCGCUGGAGAACUGAGGGGGGCUGCUCCUAGUACGAGAGGACCGGAGUGGACGCAUCACUGGUGUUCGGGUUGUCAUGCCAAUGGCACUGCCCGGUAGCUAAAUGCGGAAGAGAUAAGUGCUGAAAGCAUCUAAGCACGAAACUUGCCCCGAGAUGAGUUCUCCCUGAGACUUUAGGUCUCCUGAAGGAACGUUGAAGACGACGACGUUGAUAGGCCGGGUGUGUAAGCGCAGCGAUGCGUUGAGCUAACCGGUACUAAUGAACCGUGAGGCUUAACCUUACAACGCCGAAG
Molecule: ribosomal RNA, 1688 nt
Filed under: Salmonella enterica subsp. enterica serovar Muenster
Lineage: Bacteria; Pseudomonadati; Pseudomonadota; Gammaproteobacteria; Enterobacterales; Enterobacteriaceae
Description: bacterial LSU rRNA
Rfam family: Bacterial large subunit ribosomal RNA
Source: RNAcentral